AGCGAGAGCAGGAAGACGAGAAUAGGGGAACAGAGGGAUAAAAAAAGAUGUCGAAAGAGAAGCACGACAGCGGAGAGGAGGAUGUGUAACUCACUCAGUUUCAACAUUUUAAAACAACACGUGAAAUCACAGCCAUGCGAGCUGGCUCGAGGGAUGGGGGUCUGUCGGUCCAGACUCAAAUAUCUCAACAACUAAUCGGGUGGAUUGACGCGAAAUUUUGUUCCGACGUUCAUGAUCCCCAGAGGAUGAAGCCUGCGGACUCUUGGCGAGCCUCCGGCUUUUCCUCCAGCAUCCAGUGACGAUAAUGACGUCGCCAGCCUCAGCUGUACUUUGUGUUUAUUGCUAAUUAGCAAGUGUUAGCAUGCUAACACGCUAAACUAUGAUCACGAACAUGGUAAAACAUUACACCUGCUUAGCAUCAGCAUGUUAGCAUCCUUGUUAGCAUUGAGCACAGCCUCACAGAGCAGCUUUUUCUACUUCCUGUAUUCACUUUAUAACUGUAUAUAACUUUAAAUUAACUUUUUAUUUAUGCUGUAGCUUUCCUAAUGUUUUGUUUCCUUUGCUCUGCUUUUGUCAUGUUUGUACCUACAGUCUCUUGUGCUGAAUUGCCCCCCCCCCCCCGUGGAUCAAUAAAGUGCUGAUUCAGUUUCAUUUUCAACUGAA
Siniperca chuatsi (mandarin fish) is the source of this 663-nucleotide long non-coding RNA. RefSeq lists it as uncharacterized. NCBI's taxonomy places the organism in Eukaryota, Metazoa, Chordata, Actinopteri, Centrarchiformes, Sinipercidae. The transcript is spliced from 2 exons. The record is from RefSeq and is a predicted model, not a curated record.